CCGCCUGGCCUCCAGCCACCUCGGCCGUUCGCGCUCCGAGCCGCGGAUCCCUGCGGGGGCACAGCGCACCCGGGCCGCCUCGGGGGCCACCAGGAGACCCCCCCGGCGCUGACCCCCCGGCGGGGCCCGGCCCGGGGCGGGGAGCCGAGCGGCCUCGGGGGCUUAAAGUCGCUAUUAUGCAGCCGCCGCCGCCGCCGCCGCCGCCGCCGCCGCCGGCCCGGCCAGCUCGGCAAGGUGGGGUCCCCUCCUCGCCGCGCCUCCCCGCGCUCGCCCCGGCCCCGCUCCCUUUCUUCUCCUCCUCGCGCACUUGGGAGCCGCCGGGGAGCCCCGGGGGCCCCCGGCUCCGGGCUCGCAACUCCCCGAGCGGCCGGCGCGGGUCGGGGUCCGGCGGGGUCGGCCGCCCCCCGCGCCGCGUGCUCGCGCCGCCCCCGCCCCCGCCCCCGCCCCACGCGGCGGCCCCCGCGCACUUUCCCCGCCGCCGGCCCACCUCGCCCGGCCGCCGUCCGCGCCGCGCCGGGAGGGACGCACUUUGUUCGCGCCGGUGCGGCCGCCGCUCCCGGCGAGCGCGGCGUGGUCGGUCCGGGGCGGGGGCGGGGGCGGGGGCGGGGGCGGGGGUCGCCGCCGUCCCCGAGCCGCCGCCGCCGCCGCCGCCGCUCAGCCGCCCCGCGCCCGCGCGCCCAUCGCCCACUCGCACUUGAGUUGGAGCCCAACUUUUCCUCCUUCCUUUUUCUUUCGAUCGGAGCCGGCAACUCGUGCUCGGCGCCGGCGGGAGGAAACGCGCUCGCGCUCCCCCGCGCGCAGACACGCUCCCUCCUGUCCCCGUCCCCGUCCCCGUCCCCGUCCCCGUCCCCGUCCCCCCCACGCCGGCAGCACAACAAAAAGCCAUUUACAUGCGAGGAAGUGACCCUCGGCCGGACCGCGCGCCCCCGCCGCCGCCGGCCCCGCGGACGCAGGCAAAAGUUGGGGCGCGGGCGGCGCUCGGGGCGCGGGUUCGGGGCCCGCGGGCGGCGGUGGAGGCGGGGGCGGCGGCGGCGGCGGCGACACGGCCCGGGCGGCGCUGCGCUCCUGCGCCCACCCGGCCCCCGGCCCCCGCCCCCGGCCCCGGCCCCGGCCCCCGCCCGCCCGCGCCCCGCGCCCCGCACACGCCCAACUCCUCGCUCCCAACUCCUCGCGCGGCCCCGGCCCCGGCCCCUGCCCCGGCCCCGGCCCCGGCCCGGAGCGAUUUCCUGCCGCCGCCCCUCCCGGAGGCGCCCGGCGAACUCUCGCGCUCACCGGGUCGGUCGGGAGGCUCCUCCGCUGCCCCGCGCCGAGGGCACAGCACAACGCAGGACGGGCUCCGGAGUUGGCUCGGCGGCCGCGGCCGGGGGGCUCAUCCACGGGCGCGGAGUUGGCCGGCGCGGACGGGGCUCUGGCGAGUUUCAGGGUCUCCGGGUCCCCGGGCCGCCUCCUCAGCGGCGCUCCUUUGUGUAA
This 1470-nucleotide long non-coding RNA is filed under the name Canis lupus familiaris (dog). RNAcentral describes it as "lncRNA (ENSCAFG00040017088.1)". The record is from RNAcentral. Lineage: Eukaryota; Metazoa; Chordata; Mammalia; Carnivora; Canidae.